Ahaetulla prasina is the source of this 1222-nucleotide long non-coding RNA. RefSeq lists it as uncharacterized. The transcript is spliced from 3 exons. The record is from RefSeq and is a predicted model, not a curated record. NCBI's taxonomy places the organism in Eukaryota, Metazoa, Chordata, Lepidosauria, Squamata, Colubridae.
GUGGAAACUAAUCAAGGAGAAAAGCAACCUGGAAUUAAGAAAAAACUUUCCAGCAGUAAGGACAAUUAACCAUGGUAGCACAGUGCUUAGAAUUCAGUACUGCAGGCUAUUUCUUCUGACUGCCAGUUGCCAGCAGUUCAGCAGUUCGAUUCCCACUGGCUCAAGAUCAGCCUUCCGUCUUUCUGAGGCAAACCAAUAAAAUACGCCAUCUUCUCCAGAACAUACCGCCCGCGUCCUUCCUUCGGUACCUGAGCGCGCAGCACUGCAACUCGCAGCUUUCCCACUUUUGCUUCUACCGGACGUGACUACAAGGAUCGGCUGCCUACCGUGCAUCUUCGGGAUUGCCUAGACUUGCAUACGUGAGACCGGUAAACCCGGCAGUGCAGAGAAGUUGCUUUCGAAGAAGUCGCGUCCUUCUCGCGCUGGCCCACAGAGCCCCCUCGCGAGCUCCUCCGGUACUGCUCGAAGGGACCGCUGAGGUCAGGGGAUGGCUAUCUGCAGCGAUUGGUGUUUUUAUAGCUGGUGUCUUUUCUGGAUAAAGCCUGGCGGGGGUCCUUACCGUGGCGGACGUCGCGACUAUUUAGGUGCAGUUUGAGUAAUAUUCUCUCCAUGCUUUGUCAGGAAAGUGGUUCAACUCAUCUCGAGAACAGAAAGAGCUAAGCCUCUAGCCAGCGGACAGAACGAGCGAAUUGGCGAGAAAAGCAGGGAUUUAAUGGACUGGGGACACUAUCUUGGAGAUCUGACUCAACAUUUCCAUCCAGAUUGUGAUCUUUAGACAUGUUGCAAAUUAAUCAGAAUGCAGUAACAUCUUGAAUACAUGAACUUGUUUUACAUAAAAGGUAAAGGUAAAGGUUCCCCUCGCACAUAUGUGCUAGUCGUUGCCAACUCUAGGGGGUGGUGCUCAUCUCCGUUUCAAAGCCGAAGAGCCAGCACUGUCCGAAGACAUCUCCGUGGUCAUGUGGCCGGCAUGACUCAACGCCAAAGACGCAUGGAACGCUGUUACCUUCCCACCAAAAGUUUGUUUUAUAUACAAACUAGUUAAUGCAUUUAUAUUGAUUUACUAUUUGAUAAAGAUAUGAUUAUAGCCUAAAUCAAGAAUGUUAAAAUUCUUCUAAACAACAUUUUAAUAUUGUAUCACAAAUGAUUCAAUAAACUUGCACUGCUGUUUAAUGUGGAUUCUAAGAGAAUAUGUUUUUAAAAAUUCCCUUUCAUGACAAAUAAU